AUCUAGAUCUAGUCUAGAUCUAUCCAUCUGGCACAUCAAAACAGUUCUGCUUGAGAAAAUUAUAUCUGAAAUUUACUGAAAUAAUACUCAAAAUACGGUCAAAGAGAGGUAACCGUACAAAUACUGAAGUGGGGUUGAAUUUUCAUGGUUAUCUUCCCUUUAACCCAUACCCAAAGAUAAUAGCCUAAUACUAGUACAUGUAAUACAAUAGCUCACAGCAUGACGUUCUAUGUGUCAGACAUGGGUACUUUCUUACUCUUAUUGGCAUGGCCGGCGUGACCCGAUUUACAUGUACAAUCUCUGAACCCCCAUCUUGCUUCCCACUAGCUCUAGCAUUAAAAAAACCACCAUUCUGUCUCGAAAAGUAGGCUGCUAAUUCGUCUGUUGAUCCGCGCUUUUCACGUGUCUCAGAGUGUCUCAGAGUGGGUGACACCACUUCCGCCAAAUGAAGUACGAAUUAGUAUAGUAUCUUUGGUCUUGCCGGAAAUACUUACGAAAAAAAUAAUAUUCCCGAAUAAAAAUUGUAUUGUACUAAAUUGAAAGAAGAAGGCAAUUCACAAUACAAAACAAGUUUACAAGUCAUUAGUUCGCUAAAAAACAUUUUAAGAAUGAUAAUUACUGCUUUGCUAACACAAGUGCUUUUAGCGAAACGAUACAAAUCCACCUUUUGUAUUUUAAAGAAAAACCGGAACUAGUGCGUGGUGUUUACACAAACGAUGAUGACGUAAUUGUAAAGAUACAAUGUGUGUGCAAAGAUCAAUGACGUAGAUACACAUCGCGCCGGAAAUACGCACGUAAAAAAAUAAUAUUUCCUAAAAAAACCCAUAUAAUACUAUAUUGACAGAAGAUGGCAAUUCACAAUAUAAAACAAGUUUACCAGUCAUUUGUGCUCUAAAAAAACUUUUAAGGAGUGAUAAUUACUGCUCUGCUAACACACGUUCUUUUAGUGAAACGAUAAAAAUCCUGCUUUUGUAUAAUUUCAAAGUAAACAUGAACUGGUACCCUCUCAUCAGUGAGGCUAUCUUUAAUUAAUCUAGAUCUAGAUCUAGAUCUAGAUUUAAUAAUGUAAAAUAACUUCCCCAGAGAAGAUGAGUUAAGAUUUUAAACAAAAACACAAACUUAAUGCUUUUGGUGACAUUUUAUACCACACAUAUCAGGAGGAAGUUGACAAAGACUUACGAGGGAAAAUGCUUUCCGUUGCUAUGGAAUCACUAAGAUGCUAAGGUGCACAUUCAGAAUGUUGAGAAAACUCGUCAAAGCUCGUUUCUCUCUAUACUAACUUAUGGACUACCAUACUACCUGUAGGUAUGUCAUCAUUGGCACUGUUUGAACUUGCAUUGAUCGAUCUAGAUCUAGAUCUAGGCAAGGCCACAAGACUGAAUUGAAGUCGAUGCUAUCCCUGUCAGCUGCAACCAAAAACUCUCCCCAGGUUCAACUUUGCGCGCCAGGAAGUUCUGGAGUAUUCAAAAAAAUCUAGAUAAGCUAGAUCUUGAUCUGACUCACUCCCUAUAGAUCUAUAGGCCUAGGCCUAGCCUAGAAUCUAGGUCUAGCCUAUGGAAGUCCAAGGAAAAUUUAUAUCUAGAUCUAGAUCUAACAACUUAAACGAAGUUGUAGAAUGGACUGAUGAACUGGUUCAAAGAAAAAAGAAAACGGAUGAAAGAAAAGAUGCAGGGUUUUUGUGGUCUUGAUUUGGCACGCUCUGUGUGUAGAUCGACGCGAUAGGUUAAUGCCAGCCAGAGAGUAAAUAUUAAUGCGCUGAGGGAUGCAAAAAGGUUUUAAAGAUAAGAAAAUUCACAUAAUGCUGCAAAUGUUCAAACUUUCGGCUAAAUUAAACGAGGAGAGAACUAGACCUAUGACUGUGAAAAGAAGUUACAUUUGUGUCUAGAUCUAUAGAACGAACAAAAAACCCCCCCAAAAAAAGAAAAAGAAAACAGCUGGACAAACGAUGUAAAAAGGUAUAAAUAAUCACUAAAUUUAUUAUCCCGAGGGUGUCUACACAAAGGAUAAUGACGAGAAAAUAAAAAGAAUAUUAUGUGUAUGCAAAGAUCUAACGUUGAUGAUUACAUAAAGAACAAUUACAUAUUAUUUAAUUUAUUUAUGUGUACUCUUCAAUUUUAUGAGCUUAUGAUAGCGUAGUACCUGAUGAGGGUAGCCUACCAGUUGCUGUUUUCUUUGAAAUACAAAAGCUGGAUUUGUAUCGUUUGGCUAAAAGCACACGUAUCAGUCAGUCAUGCCUGAAAUAUUGUUUUAGAAAAUGAAUAACUUAUAAACUUGUUUUGCCUUGUGAAUUACCUCCUUUUGUCUCUAGAUCUAUAUAUAUAAUCUUAUAAUAUAUAUUUUUUAAUGCAAAUACUAUUUUUUGCUUGUGUAUUCCCGGCACGAGCAAAGGGAUUCUAUUCAGUACUAGAGUUUGUGGCAGUGAUGUCACCCAUGUAACGAGCGGGGGCUCUGUGUGCCCACACUGGGACACUGAACAUCAAGCGCAUGACAUGAGCAGUUCAGCCGACGGUGGGGAGAUAUUUGCUCACAAGACAAACGUGUGUGUCUUAGUGACAGAGACCUGGUUUAUCUCCUGGACAUGAGGAGAGAGCAAAGGUCAACCAGAAACUGGAGGAGGGCGAGGAACCGGGGAACAGAAUUUUUGCUGAAACAACAGACUUUAGCGAGACAUAGAGGGAAAAGAAGACAAACUACAGUGGAGUCUGCUGAAACCAAACACGGUUCAUCCGAUAAUCAUAUGGCAGUAAACCAACAUAAAAUAAUGUCUCUAUUUUUUCUUCAGUUGAAGCAACCUCUGUAAACCAGAUACCAGGCUGAAGUCUCAUCUCUACGAAUGACAAAGUACAGAGCUAUUUUAAGAGCUGAGGGACGUUCUAAACUAUAGAUAUCUACAUAUAAGAUGUUAUAGUAUAGGUGUGAUCUAUUCAGGGGGAACUAGGCUCCUGAGAAAAACAAUGCCAAUCUACAUUCAUUAUAUUUUUUCAAAAUAAUUUUUCAAAACGUUAAUUUAGAUAAUUUAUAUAUUUAGUUUCUCACUCAAUACAUUAGAAAUUUUCAUGUCAAUGUUUUAAAGUUUUGUCUUUUGUAAGCUUGUUAUCUUGAAGAUUUCGCACAACUAAAAACAGAUAGAGCUUAAAGAAGGUGAAAAUUGGACAGAGUGGAAAAUUACAGAUUCAGAAAAUGCUCCUUGCCUCAGAAAGUGAUUUUCCCAUUUCCCUCUUGGUUUCCCUUUGCCACCACUAUUUGUGUUUCUCUUUCUGCUGGGCUGAUAUUUGCUCCAAUCAAGUCAUUGAUGCUCUAGCUGUUCCUGUCUUUUUCUUGGUCUUCCCCUUCCUGUGUUUUCUUAUACCUUUCUGUGGAUAACAAUUUUACCCAGAGAUUCUGUGUUUUUGUGAGCCAAAAUAAGUGAGCUUUGUGGUCAAAUUAAAUCUAUAAAUAAACAGUUCUUUAUCUGGAGCUUUUAUAAGAUCCUCCGGUUGCAUUAUUUAGAAUUCUGUUUCUACAUAUUUGUUUCUUUUUCAUUUUGUUUCAGAUCCCAACAGUCGACUGUACCUGAGUGCCACAGAAAUCUCGCCCUUCCUUGAGAUACAGCCAUAGUUCUCUCCCCUGACCAUAGAAUAUGAAGCUUUCACCGACAAAGACAUCUUGCCGGUUCGGAUCCAGGCAAGGUCUAAGCUCUGUGGCGCCAUCGGCUGGCUAGAUAACACAGUAGACAGCAAACAAUGUCUUCAGAACGUCAGAACCUGACAGAAAUGUUCAGCUAUCUGUCCGGAGAACAUUCACGACGUUACCAUGUUGAAGGGGACAUCAGCGCUGCUUACUCAGAGAUAGUCAUCAACAGGAUCUGUGGGUAGAUUUGGCAGGACGAAGGAUGAAGCUGGCAAAGAGAACGGGAAACUACUUAUCGUGCGGUCAAACAUUUGUGGUGCAACCUAUGGUCAAAUAUUUCUCUAAUGGGUAAAUCAAUGUUACUAUUGUUACCCACACUUGACACUGCUGUUUCUAUCAAUUUGACUCAAGUUAAUCAUAUUUUUCCAUAAAAACUGAGGUUAGACUAAAACACUUUUCUGAAUAAAAUACUACUAAUCUCUGUCACGCAGAAAAAGGGAUUGUUCACAGCACUUCCCGCUCCUCUCCUAACACACAGUUUGCACAUAUGUGGCCUAUGUCACAAUUCGCCAGUGACACUUUCUAGAGGUAAAACUUUAGCCCUCACAUUGUCAUGAUAUCCUGAUAAAUGACAAGUGAACUUGAGAACAAUUUCUGCUCAUAUUUUACAACAAGUCUGUUGCCGUCUUUUUUAAACUUUAUUUGACACUUUUAAAGAAAGUGCGAUUCUCCACACAGUGUAACCCACUCCUAGCCAGUAGCCAUGUGCUUGCACCCGUGUGUUUUGGUCUGUAGAAAUCGUCGACGGGAAUGUUUUAUUACUGCUUGUGGCAUUAGUAGUCUAGUGGUUAGGCUACCGGACUCGUAAUCGUGAGGUUGUGGGUUCGGGGGUUCGAGCCUUGGACCCAA
This is a long non-coding RNA of Aplysia californica (California sea hare), 4518 nucleotides long. RefSeq lists it as uncharacterized. NCBI's taxonomy places the organism in Eukaryota, Metazoa, Mollusca, Gastropoda, Aplysiida, Aplysiidae. The record is from RefSeq and is a predicted model, not a curated record. The transcript is spliced from 3 exons.